GGGGAGCACUUCGAAGGUGACCGCAGUGAUAUUCAGCAAUGAGGAGUUGAGAGAGAGAAAGAACCACCUGCUGCGAUCCUGUGGAGCUCAGCUUGGCCUUGGUUGAAUGCCGACCACUCCCACCCCCCCACAAGGAAGUCUCCAUGAGGCUGUGCGGUAUUACAAGCCUAGUGCACUUGAGACCCAGCUGGAGGGCCCAAGGACGCACAGAGCCCAGCCUGGAUACAUCUGGGCCCUCCGAGCCGCUGCAAGGGCAGCCCAGGGCACAGUCUCCAGGAGUACACCCUUUGACACUAAGCAGAUUGAGCAUAUAAUUUAUUGUUCAAUGCAGGACACUCCUGAGAGUGAACUGGAAAUUAUGCUGGUACGAUUCCAGAGCAGCAGGCUGGAUGUUCACCCUGGACAAUCUAUUAGGUUCUGUGCUCAAACCUUCCUAAGAGUAGACAAAAUAGUUUUCUAAACAUAAGAACUUGCUAAAACUCAAAGUAGCUUAGGGCCAAGAUGGCUUUAUUUUAAACGCCAAUUGUGUUGUUGAAGAAAAGAGUAUGUUCUCGCCCCAUUUUGUCGAUGGUCCGGGGCUGCUUGGGGAAUUGUGCCGAAGAUGUGUACGCUCCCGGGCCUGGGGUUUUCUGAAAACAGAACAGAAAAUAGGAAUUGAUGAGAACGUGAUGCCAAAACCCUGAAGCAUCCUGAGUCUCGCUGUUGGCUCAGACGUGGCUGGCAAAUCCCAGCGGAGGGAGAUAAAGGCCAUACCAGCUUGGGCUGAAGCCUGAGGCACCGUUGCAUUGGCGCAUGUCCUUGGAGCUGAGGCCAGCUCCUGUAAACAGCUCCCCGCAAGGCUGCGGAGGUGCUGAGAGACGGGACAAGCAAGUGACAGGCCGAGACCUGCGGGGGAGGCAGCUUACAUGUCACCUGCACCUCGAGGCACAUUUUCUCCUAACGGGCUCUCAGGCAGUUCUUGUCCCUGGAAAUGCCAUUGUCCUCCCCUCUAGUGACCUCAGUCUAAUGUUUGUUAUCUCUUCAGGAGACAGUGAGAGUGGAAAUUGGAUUACCCUGAGAGUGGGACAGAGAGUCAGCCCAGCGUGGAUGAGGUCAGCUGCCCGCAGAAGCUGCUUAAAUGCCA
This is a long non-coding RNA of Rhinolophus ferrumequinum (greater horseshoe bat), 1123 nucleotides long. RefSeq lists it as uncharacterized. The record is from RefSeq and is a predicted model, not a curated record. The transcript is spliced from 3 exons. Lineage: Eukaryota; Metazoa; Chordata; Mammalia; Chiroptera; Rhinolophidae.